CGUGAUGUAUUGAAUGCCAACAAUGAACAAAACGGAUUGGAUUGCAUUCGCAUGCAUGAUAAGUGUCGACAGAGAAGGAAAAUAUCAAUGCUAGAGAUCAACAAAGUUGGUAUUAGAAUGGAACCUCAGCUGCAACAAGACAAAAGCGGAUCCUCAGAGACGGGACGAAACGUUCCUGUAAACGUGCACCAGGCUUUGAAAAACCCACUUCAAAAAACUUUUCGCCCGCUUAUCAUAUCUCUGAAAUUAAUGGGACUCUACCACGAGAAUCAAGCGGUGAAUAGCGUGUCCAAUUUUUCAUGGGGCGGAGUAAGCACCAACGCCGCAGUCGAAGUAGAACGAUCACAUGGCAAAAUAAAAGCUCUGAGAGUGUACAGCACUGCAGUACUAGUUGCAAUAUGGACAAACUGCCUUCUACAGUUCACCAUGUUUUCCGUGCCAUCUAUGGGCUACCACCUAUUUGUAAAAGUCGUUUACUUGACGUGGUACAGCAACUUGUGUGUGAACGCAUUGGUUUUGUAUUUGGCAUGCCGUAAGAACCGCUUGCAGAACUUUUUUGCAGAAUGGGAAGUUUUACAUCACAGCAUGCCUUGUGUAUUUUGCCCUCGCCAUUUUAAAUGGCGAGUUUUAGUUUACACUGCUGUGAGCUGGGUAAUAGUCUUGGUUAAUUUUGCGUACAAGAUGUAUGAUAGUAUUUAUGGCUCUGUGAAUAGUUUAGAAAUUCAGAUCGCUCCAUUUCAUCUUUUAUUCGUAAAUAACAAUCGAACAAUAGAAAUGAACAUAAUUAAGUCAUUUUCGAUUGCUUUUGAAUUUAUCAUGUUAAGCUGUUGGAUUCUGCCGGUCGUGGCGUUUUUUGCGAUUGCUGAAGUCAUGUAUAAAGCUUUUCUUGAGUUCAACAAAAAUCUUAAGAUGGCGAUAAAAAACUUUAAUGGCACUAUGGGCUCCAGUCCUUGUGACUAAGAAUGGUACAGAAAAAGGCACCAGCAAGUCUGCCGACUCAUGGACACUGCAGACGGUAUUUUUUCGCCUCUUACCUCGGCGUGGAUGAUAGUAAACAUAGCUUUGUGUUGCCUCAUACUGUACAUCUUCAUAUACUACCUAUCAAAGGAGGAAGAUGCAUUUCUCCUGAUCGCCAACUUAGGCUGGCUGGCGGUUGCCUUUGGUGUACUGGGAAUUAUAGCGGUUGGAGGAGGCUCUGUAAACUACCAGGCUCAUGCUUCGCUUGGGGAAAUACAUGAUCUAGACUUGAGUAAUAAAGCGAAUGAAAACACAUUACUGCAGAUGCAGAUGUUCCUGAAUAAACUGUCCGGAGAUCCGAUAGGCUUUAGUGCAUUCAAUAUGUUCGUUAUCGACCGGCCUACAAUUUUGACGGUACUGGGCAUGGUGCUGACGUAUUUCAUUGUUCUGGCUCAAUUUCAACCGAUACUGGACUCGUCCAGUGCUGGAGCCGGUUUGAUGAACUGCACAGGUACUGGACCUAAUGUGCCAUGACGUCAUCGCUCAAGAGAUCAGCCGGAGUCGUCGUGAGAUAGAUUCAAAGUCGUCCUGAUACUGGUGUCAUCUCUUGCCGAAUUUUGCAACCUCAGAAAAAUGCAUAUACUCGUAUAUGUGGUGUUCGGCCUUCCGUAUUUACACUUUUUUUUUGUAUCGAUAUCCAUUGCUUUUAAUAAUCAUGUUGUUUAACAACAUGUUUAACCAUAGGCCUACAUGAAAGUCUGAGCACAUUGAGAAUUUAACUUUUUGCAAUCCUUCAUGCAAUUACUCAGUGGAAUUGUUGUUUAGAAGAACAAUUGCAGCUCGUUUCCACAUUUUAGAUAUUAUAUUCAUUGGUUUUGUGUUUGUCAUGUUUUUACAACCCUGUUAACGCAACUACAUAUGGUACGUUGUAUACAUGUGUUUACCUGGUACUACUUAGUGCUGGACAGAUAGAGCAUUCAGUUAACAUAAUGAAAUAUGUACGAGGACUCAUAUGUCUUUUGCCAAAGAGAUGCAAAAAACUAAAAUAAUGAGAUAAAUGUUAAAAGUCCCGUGAAGAGGAUUGCAAGAUAUUCAUUUUGAUUCGGCUAAAGUGAGUGGAAAAACAAAUUGAGAUGUGCCAUCCAUUUAGUAAAACCUGUUCGCGCCAUAAUGUUGUGUGUCAUUUUAUAUCAGUGACUCAUGCGUGACAUUUACAGUGGAUCUUUUAGGUAAAUUGAAUUACUAGAAGGGGACUAUUUCUCAUCCAUUAGUGUCAAGUUUGCUUUAAACGCUGUUUCACGCUUACUGUGGUGCAAAAUAAAAAAAAAUAGAUACAUAAAAAAAUAAACGGAAGUCCGCUUUCUGCAGUUGCAUU
Molecule: unclassified non-coding RNA, 2332 nt
Organism: Lingula anatina
Lineage: Eukaryota; Metazoa; Brachiopoda; Lingulata; Lingulida; Lingulidae
Source: RefSeq, a predicted model, not a curated record